This is a long non-coding RNA of Procambarus clarkii (red swamp crayfish), 1505 nucleotides long. RefSeq lists it as uncharacterized. The record is from RefSeq and is a predicted model, not a curated record. NCBI's taxonomy places the organism in Eukaryota, Metazoa, Arthropoda, Malacostraca, Decapoda, Cambaridae.
GCGCGUCGGUGUUCUGAGGCUGUUUCCCUGGAUGAUGCGGGCAGUGUGAGUGAUGUGGCCUCUGUGGACUCUUCGGACGGUGCAGGUUUGGCCUGUGUGUAUGUGAAGGUGGUGGCUGUGCCUGCGGCGGGGCCUGCUGGGCGUGGUGUGGUGCGGCCUGUCUCGAAGCGUUCGCGGCGGGCUCGGAGUGUCUCCCCUUCGUGGUGUGCCUUGGGAGAUGGUUGGAGAGUAUGGUGAUCUGGCGCCCCCCGCCGAGGAUGAUGGUGCUGUGCGGGGCUCCGAAGUUGCUACCUGUGCCUCUCCUCCUGCGUCUCCUGCUGUUGGAUUUCCACAGUGGUGGGUUGUCCCUGAUGAUCGGGACCUCGUCGUGAUGUUGCGGAAAGAUGUGCGCCGGGGGGCCUCGGCUCCUGUGCCCUGUGGUGGGGUCGAUGCCGCGCCUGCAUCCCCUGCGGUUUCCCCUCCUUCAUUGCCCCGGUCUGGGGGAAGCCUAGUCCCAGCUGCUGGGGUUGUGCCCUGUGGGGGUCCGGUGUUGGGCCCUUAUCGGGAUGCCCGGGUGCUUCCGGUCCCGUGGUUCUCGUCCACUGUCUGGGUGUCGCGGGUGAAGGAGUUUGUGUAUAGGGUGCCGGAUAAGAUGUCUCAGCCGAGGCCACCGCCUGGUGGCCAGGUGCCCGAUGACACGUGGGUGAUUUGGGAGGCGUACUGCUUGUGCUUUCAGAUAUACAAGUUCCCGGAGAAGUAUUAGUUCACGUCUGAUCAGCUGCCGCCGUGACCUCGUCGCCCCGCCCUACGGUGCGGGGAGUCUCCCUCUAACGUCCCCCUCUGUUUUCGUCGCCACUCCUCUCUCUACGACUCGUCACAUCUAACACACUUGACUUGAUUCUCCUCCUUAACGUCAACGCGUCUCCCUACAUUUGUCCUGGUGCAGUCAUCGGGAGGGUAAACCCUUCAUGCAAACUGCACCUAUUCUCAAGAAGAAGAGAAGAAGGAUCGUAUCAGACACUUGGCCGAGAAGCGAUAAGAAUCGUCAGCUGCUACUAAUGUACGACGGCCAAAUGUUGUCCGCAUGCUACAAGUGUGUAUAUUUAAAUAGGAUUAAGUCACGAUUGUGCAUAAACGUAAGCCCAUUCGGGUCACAGCCGAAAGGUCCCGGGUUCAUUUGCCAGGGCAGGACAUGAGUGCCUGGGCAACGCUCUUUUUCACCUGAUGUCACUGUUCACCUGUCAGCAAAUAGCUACAAUUGGGAGGUGGAUACUGGACCAGACGUCUGCUGAGUCAUGUUAGCAGGCUGAGAGCCCUCGCUUCCCAGAGCUUAUGGACUAACCCGAAGAAAAAUUCGCCUCAAACUAACUACCCAGUCCCUAAAAUCUGAUCUUAUCCAGGCUGCUGUAUCCUCUAAAAAGGGGAUUUACAUCAACGAGUGCUUGACUAGAAAAAGAAAGGCACUCCUUUACCAUAAAUGUGGUGAUCUCACUGAUAUCAACAAUUACAGACCUAUAUCAAUUCUG